Molecule: ribosomal RNA, 254 nt
Filed under: uncultured bacterium
Lineage: Bacteria
Description: partial 16S ribosomal RNA
Rfam family: Bacterial small subunit ribosomal RNA
Source: RNAcentral
UACGUAGGGUGCGAGCGUUGUCCGGAAUUAUUGGGCGUAAAGAGCUCGUAGGCGGUGUGUCGCGUCGGCCGUGAAAACCUGGGGCUCAACUCUGGGCGUGCGGUCGAUACGGGCAUCACUUGAGUUCGGCAGGGGAGACUGGAAUUCCUGGUGUAGCGGUGAAAUGCGCAGAUAUCAGGAGGAACACCGGUGGCGAAGGCGGUUCUCUGGGCAUUACCUGACGCUGAGGAGCGAAAGUGUGGGGAGCGAACAGG